RNAcentral lists this ribosomal RNA (492 nucleotides) under uncultured bacterium. Its description in RNAcentral is "partial 16S ribosomal RNA". It matches the Rfam family "Bacterial small subunit ribosomal RNA", at positions 30 to 507 of the family's 1533-position model. The record is from RNAcentral.
AUUGAACGCUGGCGGCAUGCUUUACACAUGCCAGUCGAACGGUAACAGGCCUUCGGGUGCUGACGAGUGGCGAACGGGUGAGUAAUGCAUCGGAGCGUGCCCAGAGGUGGGGGAUAACGCAGCGAAAGCUGUGCUAAUACCGCAUGUGAUCUGAGGAUGAAAGCGGGGGACCAAGCAGCAAUGUUUGGCCUCGCGCCUCUGGAGCGGCCGAUGUCAGAUUAGGUAGUUGGUGGGGUAAAGGCCUACCAAGCCGACGAUCUGUAGCUGGUCUGAGAGGACGACCAGCCACACUGGGACUGAGACACGGCCCAGACUCCUACGGGAGGCAGCAGUGGGGAAUUUUGGACAAUGGGCGCAAGCCUGAUCCAGCAAUGCCGCGUGCGGGAAGAAGGCCUUCGGGUUGUAAACCGCUUUUGUACGGAACGAAAAGGCUCUGGCUAAUACCUGGGGCUGAUGACGGUACCGUAAGAAUAAGCACCGGCUAACUACGUG